RNAcentral lists this ribosomal RNA (772 nucleotides) under uncultured eukaryote. RNAcentral's name for it is "SSU rRNA". It matches the Rfam family "Eukaryotic small subunit ribosomal RNA", at positions 566 to 1324 of the family's 1831-position model. The record is from RNAcentral.
GCCAGCCGCCGCGGUAAUUCCAGCUCCAAUAGCGUAUAUUAAAGUUGUUGUGGUUAAAAAGCUCGUAGUUGGAUCUCGGCGGUCUGAGGGCGGUUCGCUUGAUUGAGUGCUACUGCUCUAUAGGCCGUGGUUUUGCCAGAGGUCUCGGGGUGCUCUUAACCGAGUGUCCUGCGAUGCUGGCAGGUUUACUUUGAAAAAAUUAGAGUGCUCAAAGCAGGCUUUUACGCCUGAAUAUUCGUGCAUGGAAUAAUAGAAUAGGAAGUCGUUUCUAUUUUGUUGGUUUUCGGAAAUCGACUUAAUGAUUAAUAGGGACAGUCGGGGGCAUUUGUAUUCAAACGACAGAGGUGAAAUUCUUGGACCGUUUGAAGACAAACUACUGCGAAAGCAUUUGCCAAGAAUGUUUUCAUUAAUCAAGAACGAAAGUUAGAGGUUCGAAGGCGAUUAGAUACCGCCCUAGUUCUAACCAUAAACGAUGCCAGCUAGCGAUCUGCCGACGUUUUCUUUGUAGACUCGGCAGGAAGCUUCCGGGAAACCAAAGCAUUUGGGUUCCAGGGGAAGUAUGGUUGCAAAGCUGAAACUUAAAGGAAUUGACGGAAGGGCACCACCAGGAGUGGAGCCUGUGGCUUAAUUUGACUCAACACGGGAAAUCUCACCAGGCCCGGACACUGGAAGGAUUGACAGAUUGAUAGCUCUUUCUUGAUUCGGGGUGGGGUUGGUGGGUGCAUGGCCGUUUCUUAGUUUGGGUGGGAGGUGAUUUGGUCCUGGGUUAAUU